GGUUCUGUGGUGUAGUGGUUUGCACGCAGAGUAUACUUCAAAAUGGUAUCUGUUGGUAUCGAAGUCCAUUUGAAAGGUCCCAGUUCAAACCUGGGCAGAACCG
Tricharina praecox is the source of this 103-nucleotide non-coding RNA. Lineage: Eukaryota; Fungi; Ascomycota; Pezizomycetes; Pezizales; Pyronemataceae. The record is from the annotation of a RefSeq genome assembly.